RNAcentral lists this ribosomal RNA (467 nucleotides) under uncultured bacterium. Its description in RNAcentral is "partial 16S ribosomal RNA". It matches the Rfam family "Bacterial small subunit ribosomal RNA", at positions 28 to 506 of the family's 1533-position model. The record is from RNAcentral.
GACGAACGCUGGCGGCGUGCUUAACACAUGCAAGUCGAACGGAAAGGCCCUGCUUUUGUGGGGUGCUCGAGUGGCGAACGGGUGAGUAACACGUGAGUAACCUGCCCUUGACUUUGGGAUAACUUCAGGAAACUGGGGCUAAUACCGGAUAGGAGCUCCUGCUGCAUGGUGGGGGUUGGAAAGUUUCGGCGGUUGGGGAUGGACUCGCGGCUUAUCAGCUUGUUGGUGGGGUAGUGGCUUACCAAGGCUUUGACGGGUAGCCGGCCUGAGAGGGAGACCGGCCAGCUGGGCAUGGAGAAACGGCCCAGAGCACUUCGGGGGGGAGGGGGGGGGAGUAUUGCCAAAGGGGCGGAAGCCAGGUGCAGCAACCCCGGGUGGGGGAGAAAGGCCUUCGGGUUGAAACUCGGUUUCGCUUGGGAAGGACGGUGAGUGCGGGUAAUUGGGAAGGAGGCCCCGGCAAAUUACUG